CCCUGCAGGACUCUAUCAAAGGGGCUUGACGGAACCAAUGAGUCACUCCAUCAAACCCUUUGCAGACUGUCACAGCAUUUCGAAUUCCUCCCGUGCAUGACCUCCUUCCCCUUUUAUCGCUCCUUUUGAAUGCAUUAAACCCCACGUAAGAACUGGAACAUAACAUUUUCCAGAGAGUCUAGGGACAGAGGCAGAAGAGAUCUAGUUGUGAAAGCUCAGCCGUGUAAAGCUCAUAAACCCUGGAUGGCUGCAAAAACUCUGGAACAUGAUUUUGAGCAGUUGGGCACCGAGGGAAGGAGGAAAAUAUCCUUGGGAACGGACACAAGAGAUUCCAAACAAGGACUGCUUCCUGCUUCCUAAUCCAGCAGAGGAGGUCCACAGACACUGUGUGUCUUGAUUGAAGCAACGCAUUGGAUAAAAGUGACCUGGCCUCUCAUGACAUUCCUAAGGGCCAGCAGCAAGACCUGGAAGACAGGAACCCUGGUAACAAAUGCCUCCGUGCAUCUGUAAACUGAGAAAAUCACCAGCUGCAAACCUCACAGAGUUGCUCUAAGAAGAAAAUGAGAUAACAGAGGUGAAACAGCUGAAAAAAUGGCAAGAACGGUACACACGUAGAGGGACGUGAGGCUUAAUAGUAGGCGAAGCGUGGAAUGGGCCCAUUUUCUUCCACUUCGAAGAGCAAAACUUUAGAUGACUGGAGAGAGAAAUUCCAAGCACACUUUCCUGUUGAUUGGAGCUGGCCAUUGUCAGGAAGGCAGCUUCAUGAAGCAGCGAGGGAGCUUCUGGUCAGGGCAGACACCCGGGCAGACAUGCCUACCCCAGCCUCUGGAUGUGGUCCGGUGAUUUCUGUUGCUGAAGGAGACUUGGACUGGAGGUGACUCAGUUCUCUCUGUCAUCUUAAUGUUCCCUGAUUUUGCUUUAGCAAUUUGAUAUGGAGAGAAUAUCUCUGGUCUGUUUGCUAUGUUUUCUUUUUAAUGUGUAUAUUUUAGUCCAUGCAUUUCAUGAUGGCUGUGAUAAAAGUGCUUUGUCUUCCUAUAAAUUAUGCAAAUAUAUGAU
This 1056-nucleotide long non-coding RNA is filed under the name Heterocephalus glaber (naked mole-rat). Its description in RNAcentral is "lncRNA (ENSHGLG00000038634.1)". Lineage: Eukaryota; Metazoa; Chordata; Mammalia; Rodentia; Bathyergidae. The record is from RNAcentral.